Molecule: long non-coding RNA, 1633 nt
Organism: Mus spicilegus (steppe mouse)
Lineage: Eukaryota; Metazoa; Chordata; Mammalia; Rodentia; Muridae
Source: Ensembl
GUGAUUCUCCCUGCUGGGAAAUGCUGGGUGACCAGCAGGGGGUGACCACGUGGUGUUGGUGACAUUGACUGUCCUUUACACUUUAGGGCAGGUAGCAACAUCCCUGUUCCUACCCACUAGAUGUCAGUAGCAACCUCCAACCCUUCCAGUUGUGACAACAGAAAUGCCAGGAGAUGUCAAAUAUUCCCCACAGGACAGCAGUGCCCCACUGAGAUUCAUGGAGUUACAGUGACUUCAUUGCACAGCUGUUCCAUCAGGUCCCAGAUACUACCGCAUGACAGGACCUGGGAGAGCAAAAGCAAAGCCUUGGAAUCCCUGUGAGUUAUCCAAAGCGGAAAGCCAAAGGGUGGAUGAUCUCACCUCCUUCCCCGGAAGGAAGAUGCAGAACUUCCUGGGAACCGCACAUCCCUCCUUCCUCCUCCGAGUCCAAAUUUCAAGAAAUGCAGCUAAAAUUGGCCCUCAAACAGCUUUUGCAGAGCACGCCGCAUCUUUUUUUGGGCCUAGAGAGCCAGUUUCCAUGAUGAAAGUGGCACAGAAGGAGAGACCCAGCUAAAAACAGCCACCGCCCAGGCUGGUGUUAACAGGAUGCAGCCUACCCUAAGAUCUGGCAGUUCAGACGCCCAGGCUUCCGCAGCUGAUUUGCUCAUCGCCACUAGGUGGUAGCAUCGCGACAUGAGGCGCGGGAGCACACUCCAGGACCCCAAUGACCGAGAACCCUGUGCGUGAGAACAUUUACCUGCCUUGGAAUUCGCCACUUCAUUGUCUUGCUUUUAUUUUGGGGCAUGCAUUUGCAUUACAGGAGCUCCCCCGAAGUACUUCUUUUAGGGGAUUGGGACCCAAAGAGGUCUUGUGCAUCCUGGCUGCAAACACCAGACACCCUGAAUCACCUAACCCAGCAGGUUUCACCAUGCCAACCUGGCUUCUUUUUGAACAUUCCAAGCAGAGGCGGCAGAGUCUAGAGGGAGAAGUUCAGUUUCUCUCUGGUGCAGUGUAUAGUCGAUGCUCAACAAAUACACAUCACGUUUUCUCAUCUAAAAUGCUUGGGACUAGAAGUGCUUUGGACUCAGGAUGUUGGAAUACAUGCACAGAUACAGUGAGGUGUCUUGGGAAAGGGCCCUGAGUCUGAACCCUGCAUUCAGGUAUGUUCUGUAUGUAUCUUUUAUGCAUAGCCAGAGGUCAGUUUUAUAAACUUUUCCAUGCACCUGUGUUUUGACUGCAGCUGUCAUGCAAGGUCACAUGUGGAAUUUCCCACUCGUGGUCUAAUUUGCUCAGUUUUGGAUUUUGGAUUUUUGGAUUAUGGAUAUUUAUUAUCUUAGUUUGGGGACCACAGAGGAAGGUGGACAGGGUGGGCCAACACUGUGGACACCAGGAGUUUUCCUUUAAGAAAUGUAAAUUCUAGUCCCUGUCUGGCCACCACCUGAGGCAGAACCUCCUGGAUAGGCUCUGGAGAGAUCUCAAAGCACACACUUGAGUUGCUCCACAGCGAAGCUUCUUCUGGCCCUAGUGAUCAGGAAUUUACCUCAGUUCUGGGAAAUGGCUUUAUUCCUCAGGCUAGUCCUCCAUUACAACUAUCUCUCUCAUUUUCCUCAAGUGUCUCCAGCUUUCUCUGCCCUAGCACAGGUGUGUCUGGCUG